RNAcentral lists this transfer RNA (69 nucleotides) under Rhynchocypris percnurus (lake minnow). RNAcentral's name for it is "tRNA-Ser". The record is from RNAcentral. Lineage: Eukaryota; Metazoa; Chordata; Actinopteri; Cypriniformes; Leuciscidae.
AAGGAAGGACAGAAAUCAGUAAGUACUGCUAAUACUUAUACCCGGGGUUAAAGUCCCCGGCUUUCUUAC